RNAcentral lists this ribosomal RNA (760 nucleotides) under Haemophilus influenzae. RNAcentral's name for it is "bacterial SSU rRNA". It matches the Rfam family "Bacterial small subunit ribosomal RNA", at positions 28 to 776 of the family's 1533-position model. Lineage: Bacteria; Pseudomonadati; Pseudomonadota; Gammaproteobacteria; Pasteurellales; Pasteurellaceae. The record is from RNAcentral.
AUUGAACGCUGGCGGCAGGCUUAACACAUGCAAGUCGAACGGUAGCAGGAGAAAGCUUGCUUUCUUGCUGACGAGUGGCGGACGGGUGAGUAAUGCUUGGGAAUCUGGCCUAUGGAGGGGGGAUAACGACGGGAAACUGUCGCUAAUACCGCGUAUUAUCGGAAGAUGAAAGUGCGGGACUGAGAGGCCGCAUGCCAUAGGAUGAGCCCAAGUGGGAUUAGGUAGUUGGUGGGGUAAAGGCCUACCAAGCCUGCGAUCUCUAGCUGGUCUGAGAGGAUGACCAGCCACACUGGAACUGAGACACGGUCCAGACUCCUACGGGAGGCAGCAGUGGGGAAUAUUGCGCAAUGGGGGGAACCCUGACGCAGCCAUGCCGCGUGAAUGAAGAAGGCCUUAGGGUUGUAAAGUUCUUUCGGUAUUGAGGAAGGUUGAUGUGUUAAUAGCACAUCAAAUUGACGUUAAAUACAGAAGGAGCACCGGCUAACUCCGUGCCAGCAGCCGCGGUAAUACGGAGGGUGCGAGCGUUAAUCGGAAUAACUGGGCGUAAAGGGCACGCAGGCGGUUAUUUAAGUGAGGUGUGAAAGCCCCGGGCUUAACCUGGGAAUUGCAUUUCAGACUGGGUAACUAGAGUACUUUAGGGAGGGGUAGAAUUCCACGUGUAGCGGUGAAAUGCGUAGAGAUGUGGAGGAAUACCGAAGGCGAAGGCAGCCCCUUGGGAAUGUACUGACGCUCAUGUGCGAAAGCGUGGGGAGCAAACAGG